Molecule: ribosomal RNA, 729 nt
Filed under: uncultured bacterium
Lineage: Bacteria
Description: bacterial SSU rRNA
Rfam family: Bacterial small subunit ribosomal RNA
Source: RNAcentral
AACAGGAUUAGAUACCCUGGUAGUCCACGCCGUAAACGAUGAGUGCUAGGUGUUGGGGGGUUCCGCCCUCUGUGCCGAAGGUAACCCAAUAAGCACUCCGCCUGGGGAGUACGGCCGCAAGGCUGAAACUCAAAGGAAUUGACGGGGGCCCGCACAAGCGGUGGAGCAUGUGGUUUAAUUCGAAGCAACGCGAAGAACCUUACCAGGGCUUGACAUCCCGCUGACCGGUGUAGAGAUGCACCUUCCCUUCGGGGCAGCGGUGACAGGUGGUGCAUGGUUGUCGUCAGCUCGUGUCGUGAGAUGUUGGGUUCAGUCCCGCAACGAGCGCAACCCUUGUCGUCAGUUGCCAGCACAUGAUGGUGGGCACUCUGGCGAGACAGCCGGUGAAAGCCGGAGGAAGGUGGGGAUGACGUCAAAUCAUCAUGCCCCUUAUGUCCUGGGCUACACACGUGCUACAAUGGCCGGUACAACGGGCAGCGAACCCGUGAGGGGGAGCCAAUCCCAAAAAACCGGUCUCAGUUCGGAUCGCAGGCUGCAACUCGCCUGCGUGAAGCUGGAAUCGCUAGUAAUCGCGGAUCAGCAUGCCGCGGUGAAUCCGUUCCCGGGCCUUGUACACACCGCCCGUCACACCACGAGAGUCUGCAACACCCGAAGUCGGUGAGGUAACCUUCGGGAACCAGCCGCCGAAGGUGGGGCAGAUGAUUGGGGUGAAGUCGUAACAAGGUAACC